AGAAUCAACGCUGGCGGCGUGCCUAACACAUGCAAGUCGAACGAGAAAGUGGAGCAAUCCAUGAGUACAGUGGCGCACGGGUGAGUAACACGUGACUAACCUACCCUCGAGUGGGGAAUAACCUCGGGAAACCGGGCUAAUACCGCAUAACAUCCACGGAUCAAAUGCGUAAGCAGCUUGAGGAGGGGUCGCGGCUGAUUUAGCUAGUUGGCGGGUAAUGGCCCACCAAGACAGUGAUCGGUA
Molecule: ribosomal RNA, 243 nt
Filed under: uncultured bacterium
Lineage: Bacteria
Description: partial small subunit ribosomal RNA
Rfam family: Bacterial small subunit ribosomal RNA
Source: RNAcentral